CAUUGAAGAUCGUUGUCCCUAGAUCUGACCCAUUUCAAUCAGGAAUCAACCAGGGUUCUUUCCCUCUCACCAAGACACCCAAAUCCAAGCAUAUGAGGCCACCUACAACAUGUAGUCUUCUCCACCAAGAAAUCUUCAGGUUGUUCAAGAUGAUAUAGGCUUGUAUGGGUAUGAUAACCAUGGGUGCUUAAAAGCAACUUCCCGUGGUGACAUGGAGAGGGAGAUGGCUGCUGACAUGGAAGGCUGGAGGGGUAAUUUUGGAAAUGAAAUUAUAAAACAGUGGAUAGUGCAUGAAAGGGAUAUUUUUUUGGGCAACAGUGGACAUUUUUUGGGUUAUGGAAAGUUGGGUUACCAAAAAGCUAUUAGGCCCAAAUGGGCGAGCCAAAACACAGUUUUCCC
RNAcentral lists this long non-coding RNA (399 nucleotides) under Vitis vinifera (wine grape). Its description in RNAcentral is "long non-coding RNA (VVIN_LNC003474)". Lineage: Eukaryota; Viridiplantae; Streptophyta; Magnoliopsida; Vitales; Vitaceae. The record is from RNAcentral.